This 77-nucleotide transfer RNA is filed under the name Bacilli bacterium. RNAcentral's name for it is "tRNA-Glu". It matches the Rfam family "tRNA". Rfam says of the family: Transfer RNA (tRNA) molecules are approximately 80 nucleotides in length. Their secondary structure includes four short double-helical elements and three loops (D, anti-codon, and T loops). The record is from RNAcentral. Lineage: Bacteria; Bacillati; Bacillota; Bacilli.
GGCCUAUUGGAGAAGCGGCUUAACUCAUAUCCCUCUCAAGGAUACAUUCAUCGGUUCGAAUCCGAUAUAGGUCACCA